Molecule: ribosomal RNA, 492 nt
Filed under: Constantinomyces macerans
Lineage: Eukaryota; Fungi; Ascomycota; Dothideomycetes; Mycosphaerellales; Teratosphaeriaceae
Description: SSU rRNA
Rfam family: Eukaryotic small subunit ribosomal RNA
Source: RNAcentral
GUCUAAGUAUAAGCAACUAUACGGUGAAACUGCGAAUGGCUCAUUAAAUCAGUUAUCGUUUAUUUGAUAGUACCUUACUACAUGGAUACCUGUGGUAAUUCUAGAGCUAAUACAUGCUAAAAACCUCGACUUCGGAAGGGGUGUAUUUAUUAGAUAAAAAACCAAUGCCCUUCGGGGCUCCUUGGUGAAUCAUAAUAACUUAACGAAUCGCAUGGCCUUGCGCCGGCGAUGGUUCAUUCAAAUUUCUGCCCUAUCAACUUUCGAUGGUAGGAUAGUGGCCUACCAUGGUAGCAACGGGUAACGGGGAAUUAGGGUUCUAUUCCGGAGAGGGAGCCUGAGAAACGGCUACCACAUCCAAGGAAGGCAGCAGGCGCGCAAAUUACCCAAUCCCGAUACGGGGAGGUAGUGACAAUAAAUACUGAUACAGGGCUCUUUUGGGUCUUGUAAUUGGAAUGAGUACAAUUUAAAUCCCUUAACGAGGAACAAUUGAGG